RNAcentral lists this ribosomal RNA (461 nucleotides) under uncultured bacterium. Its description in RNAcentral is "bacterial SSU rRNA". It matches the Rfam family "Bacterial small subunit ribosomal RNA", at positions 266 to 719 of the family's 1533-position model. The record is from RNAcentral.
UACCAAGGCUACGAUCCGUAGCUGGUCUGAGAGGAUGAUCAGCCACACUGGGACUGAGACACGGCCCAGACUCCUACGGGAGGCAGCAGUGGGGAAUAUUGCACAAUGGGCGAAAGCCUGAUGCAGCCAUGCCGCGUGUGUGAAGAAGGCUCUAGGGUUGUAAAGCACUUUCAGUAGGGAGGAACAGCUUAAGACUAAUACUCUUGAGCCUUGACGUUACCUACAGAAGAAGCACCGGCAAACUCCGUGCCAGCAGCCGCGGUAAUACGGAGGGUGCGAGCGUUAAUCGGAAUUACUGGGCGUAAAGCGCGCGUAGGUGGUUUGAUAAGCUAGCUGUGAAAGCCCCGGGCUCAACCUGGGAACUGCAGUUAGAACUGUCUGGCUAGAGUACAGUAGAGGGUGGCGGAAUUUCCUGUGUAGCGGUGAAAUGCGUAGAUAUAGGAAGGAACAUCAGUGGCGAA